UUUCCGUAGGUGAACCUGCGGAAGGAUCAUUCAUAAUAAGUGUUUUACUGCACUUUCUAAAAAUAGUACUCACCUUGUGUGCAAUGCUGUGUUUCUUUUCGGAGAAACACCUACACCAACCUAUAACCUUGAACCACUUUGUCUGAAAAACUAUUAUGAAUACUUAAUUCAGAAUACAACUUUCAACAACGGAUCUCUUGGCUCUC
RNAcentral lists this unclassified non-coding RNA (206 nucleotides) under plant metagenome. RNAcentral's name for it is "partial contains small subunit ribosomal RNA, internal transcribed spacer 1, and 5.8S ribosomal RNA". The record is from RNAcentral.